GACGAACGCUGGCGGCGUGCCUAACACAUGCAAGUCGAACGGGGUAAUUUCCUUCGGGAGAUUACUUAGUGGCGAACGGGUGAGUAACGCGUGAGAAACCUGCCUCUCAGUGGGGGACAACGGUUGGAAACGACUGCUAAUACCGCAUAAUGUUAUUGAGUGGCAUCACUUAAUAACCAAAGAUUUAUUGCUGAAAGAUGGCCUCGCGUCUGAUUAGCUAGUUGGUAGGGUAACGGCCUACCAAGGCGACGAUCAGUAGCCGGCCUGAGAGGGUGAACGGCCACAUUGGGACUGAGACACGGCCCAAACUCCUACGGGAGGCAGCAGUGGGGAAUAUUGCACAAUGGGGGAAACCCUGAUGCAGCGACGUCCGCGUGAGCGAUGAAGUAUUUCGGUAUGUAAAGCUCUAUCAGCAGGAAGAAAUGACGGUACCUGACUAAGAAGCACCGGCUAAAUACGUG
RNAcentral lists this ribosomal RNA (461 nucleotides) under uncultured bacterium. Its description in RNAcentral is "bacterial SSU rRNA". It matches the Rfam family "Bacterial small subunit ribosomal RNA", at positions 28 to 507 of the family's 1533-position model. The record is from RNAcentral.